GCCGUGAAGUUGGGGAUAACUUGCUGAAAGGCGAGCUAAUACCGAAUGUGGUCUAACAAGGCUAAAGUUGGGGACCGUAAGGCCUGACGCUUCAUGAUAAGCCCGCGGCCUAUCAGCUAGUUGGUGAGGUAAUGGCUCACCAAGGCUAAGACGGGUAGCUGGUCUGAGAGGACGACCAGCCUCACUGGAACUGAGACACGGUCCAGACACCUACGGGUGGCAGCAGUCGAGAAUUUUUCUCAAUGGGGGAAACCCUGAAGGAGCGACGCCGCGUGGGGGAUGAAUGGCUUCGGCCCGUAAACCCCUGUCAUUUGCGAACAAACCUUUCGUGUUAACAGCACGGGAGCUGAUUGUAGCAGAAGAGGAAGGGACGGCUAACUCUGUGCCAGCAGCCGCGGUAAUACAGAGGUCCCAAGCGUUGUUCGGAUUCACUGGGCGUAAAGGGUGCGUAGGUGGUGAGGUAAGUUUGACGUGAAAGCUCCGAGCUUAACUCGGAAAUUGCGUUGAAUACUAUCUUGCUAGAGGGUUGUAGGGGGGACUGGAAUUCUCGGUGUAGCAGUGAAAUGCGUAGAUAUCGAGAGGAACACCAGUGGCGAAGGCGAGUCCCUGGACAACUCCUGACACUGGGGCACGAAAGCUAGGGGAGCAAACAGGAUUAGAUACCCUGGUAGUCC
This 674-nucleotide ribosomal RNA is filed under the name uncultured bacterium. Its description in RNAcentral is "bacterial SSU rRNA". It matches the Rfam family "Bacterial small subunit ribosomal RNA", at positions 128 to 796 of the family's 1533-position model. The record is from RNAcentral.